RNAcentral lists this microRNA precursor (68 nucleotides) under Alligator mississippiensis (American alligator). Its description in RNAcentral is "Ami-Mir-132-P2_pre stem-loop". It matches the Rfam family "mir-132 microRNA precursor family", at positions 11 to 84 of the family's 84-position model. The record is from RNAcentral. Lineage: Eukaryota; Metazoa; Chordata; Crocodylia; Alligatoridae.
ACCUUGGCUCUAGACUGCUUACUGCUGAGCACGGCGACCGGAACAGUAACAGUCUACAGUCAUGGCUA